UCCAACACCUGCUCCUACUCCAUCAUUGGCACAACAAAGUGAGGGCAGAUGGGCCUUGCAGAUGCAAAAGUAGCACCGAGGCCGCCCCAUGCAGAGAAUGAUUUGGCUUCAUCAGCAGACUAGUGAUCAAUAAGACCAAAACAUGGUGUGAAAAAAAUCUACAGAGGUACAAAAUUAGUUUAUCAUCUGUUGGCAUCAGAUUGGACCACCAUCAUCUUGAUUGAAAAUGCUCACUGCAGCUUCACGGGUAUGAGUUCAAUUAAACUGGGAUAACUUCAAGGCAUAGGUCUUGUUUCUUGUCCAGACUAGUUUAUAAAAUCUAGUAGCUGCGUACCUGUGUUUUUGUUGGAAAAUUUAUAUGGGAGGGAAAGUAGCAAAGCCUGCACAUAAUCUUACCAGUUGUGAUGAUUUUAUUAUGGAAGAUGGAAAUAAUGCCCAAUAAACUGAAGACUGCAGCUUAGCAAAUCCAGCUCAUAGACAUCAUGAACUGCAUCUUGGGCCUAAACUGAAAUAACGACUUGAAAAUCUGAAGUAGAAUCGCCAGAAACUAUCUUAAGAUUCUGCCCACCCUGUAUGGUUAAAUGAACAACCUGUGAUCAAAGAAGGUUCUAAUACCGAGAGUUUUAAAUCUCGCAAUGAGAGAAUAUACAUGAGAAUGACAUAAUGAUCUUUAGAGGCCUUCCACCAUUAUUCUUCAAGCAGCUUUAUCCAUUGAGAUACUCCAAAUGGCUCUUGGUUUUCUUUAAAUUCAGGCUUUUAGUUGUGCUAAGAUGUAGAUUAGAAUUCUAUGGUUUCGUUGCAGAAUGUGACGCCAAGGGGGAAGAUGGUUUCCAGCAUAAUAAAAUUGCUAUAAAGUGCUAACAACAACAUCGACAGAGGAUAAUUUAAAAGAAUUCAAUACAACUUAGUAAAG
This 913-nucleotide unclassified non-coding RNA is filed under the name Hevea brasiliensis (rubber tree). The record is from RNAcentral. Lineage: Eukaryota; Viridiplantae; Streptophyta; Magnoliopsida; Malpighiales; Euphorbiaceae.